UGAGGAAUAUUGGUCAAUGGGCGAGAGCCUGAACCAGCCAAGUCGCGUGAAGGAAGACUGCCUUAUGGGUUGUAAAACUUCUUUUAUACAGGAAUAAAAAGGCUUACGUGUAGGCCAUUGCAAGUACUGUAUGAAUAAGCAUCGGCUAACUCCGUGCCAGCAGCCGCGGUAAUACGGAGGAUGCGAGCGUUAUCCGGAUUUAUUGGGUUUAAAGGGUGCGCAGGCGGGCUUUUAAGUCAGCGGUGAAAUCUGGACGCUUAACGUCCAAACUGCCGUUGAAACUGGGAGUCUUGAGUAUGGAUGAAGUAGGCGGAAUUCGUUGUGUAGCGGUGACAUGCAUAGAUAUAACGAGGAACUCCGAUUGCGUAGGCAGCUUACUAAGCCAUAACUGACGCUCAUGCACGAAAGCGUGGGGAUCAAACAGGAUUAGAUACCCUGGUAGUCCACGCCGUAAAACGAUGAUUACUAGUUGUAUGCGAUAUGAUAGUAUGUGACUAAGCGAAAGCGAUAAGUAAUCCACCUGGGGGAGUACGCCGGC
Molecule: ribosomal RNA, 538 nt
Filed under: uncultured bacterium
Lineage: Bacteria
Description: partial 16S ribosomal RNA
Rfam family: Bacterial small subunit ribosomal RNA
Source: RNAcentral